ACGCUGACAGAAUGCUUAACACAUGCAAGUCGAUGAUGGGAGCUAGCUUGCUAGAAGAAGUCAUGGCGGACGGGUGAGUAACGUGUAAAGAACUUACCAUAUAGACUGGGAUAACAGAGGGAAACUUCUGAUAAUACUGGAUAAGUUAGAAGUAGCAUUACUAAGUAAUGAAAGGUAGCAAUACGCUAUAUGAGAGCUUUGCAUCCUAUUAGCUAGUUGGUGGGGUAAAAGCCUACCAAGGCGAUGAUAGGUAGCCGGCCUGAGAGGGUGGACGGCCACAAGGGGACUGAGAUACGGCCCUUACUCCUACGGGAGGCAGCAGUGGGGAAUAUUGGACAAUGGAGGCAACUCUGAUCCAGCAAUUCUCUGUGUGUGAAGAAGGUUUUAGGACUGUAAAACACUUUUAGUAGGGAAGAAAGAAAUGACGGUACCUACAGAAGAAGCGACGGCUAAAUACGUGCCAGCAGCCGCGGUAAUACGUAUGUCGCGAGCGUUAUCCGGAAUUAUUGGGCUUAAAGGGCAUCUAGGCGGUUAAACAAGUUGAAGGUGAAAACCUGUGGCUCAACCAUAGGCUUGCCUACAAAACUGUAUAACUAGAGUACUGGAAAGGUGGGUGGAACUACACGAGUAGAGGUGAAAUUCGUAGAUAUGUGUAGGAAUGCCGAUGAUGAAGAUAACUCACUGGACAGCAACUGACGUGAAGUGCGAAAGCUAGGG
RNAcentral lists this ribosomal RNA (717 nucleotides) under uncultured Sneathia sp. Its description in RNAcentral is "bacterial SSU rRNA". It matches the Rfam family "Bacterial small subunit ribosomal RNA", at positions 33 to 765 of the family's 1533-position model. The record is from RNAcentral. Lineage: Bacteria; Fusobacteriati; Fusobacteriota; Fusobacteriia; Fusobacteriales; Leptotrichiaceae.